Molecule: ribosomal RNA, 300 nt
Filed under: uncultured bacterium
Lineage: Bacteria
Description: bacterial SSU rRNA
Rfam family: Bacterial small subunit ribosomal RNA
Source: RNAcentral
GUCCCGCAACGAGCGCAACCCUCGUUCUAUGUUGCCAGCGCGUAAUGGCGGGAACUCAUAGGAGACUGCCGGGGUCAACUCGGAGGAAGGUGGGGAUGACGUCAAAUCAUCAUGCCCCUUAUGUCUUGGGCUUCACGCAUGCUACAAUGGCCGGUACAAAGGGCUGCAAUACCGUAAGGUGGAGCGAAUCCCAAAAAGCCGGUCUCAGUUCGGAUUGAGGUCUGCAACUCGACCUCAUGAAGUCGGAGUCGCUAGUAAUCGCAGAUCAGCAACGCUGCGGUGAAUACGUUCCCGGGCCUU